This 2841-nucleotide long non-coding RNA is filed under the name Callithrix jacchus (white-tufted-ear marmoset). RNAcentral describes it as "lncRNA (ENSCJAG00000070093.1)". Lineage: Eukaryota; Metazoa; Chordata; Mammalia; Primates; Cebidae. The record is from RNAcentral.
AUGGACCACUGUCCUUGGGGAAGUCAUUUGGUACACUGCCAGCACAGCCGCAAAGGGUGUGAGCCACCGUGCCCAGCCAGAGACUUCUUCAUAAAGGGCCUACUACAGGAUACCCAUGUGAGCCCCUCAGAGGAGCCACUACUGAGCACCUGCUACCCAGUGACCAUGGUGGAAAAGCAGCAGCCAUCGACAGAGAGGAUCACAGCAGCACCAGCCCCCAACACAACACAGAAGAGGGACCCGGAAAAAGAGAAACCGAAUUUCAUCUGUCCCAGGUCCCACAGGCCUAAGCCAGGUGGAGUGAGGAGGAAGUGGGAUCUGAAGGGUUGUGACACUGUCUUUUCACAUCUGCAUCCCCAGUACCUGCCAAUGUCCCUGGCAUUGAGUAGAAGCCCAGAAGAGGUUACAUGAAUGAAUACAACCACCAUGUCUUUUGCAAUCAAUCAGAAACUGUGCGCAUCAGCAUUUUCUUAAGUGUCUCCCAUGACACUCAUGGAUGAACCCCACUGAAUCUUCAAAAUAAACAUGAAAUAAAUGGAAGCAGAAAAAAUCAGAAAGGGAAGCAUGCUGUCUAUCUCUCAUGGCGUGACUGACCGCGAAUAGCAAGCAUAUCAUUGAUAACAUGCACUCAUCCACAUGCCAUGUUGCAGCCAUUUGUCUUAGGGAAGGAAAAAUUUGCUUUAAAAGCUAGGACACAUGCACACGAAUGUUCAUUGCAGCACUGUUUACAACAGCAAAGACCUGGAACCAACCCAAAUGCCCAUCAAUGAUAGACUAGAUGGGAAAACGUGGCACAUAUACACCGUGGAAUAUUAUGCAGCCACCAAAAACGGUGAGUUUGUGUCCUUUGGAGGGACAUGGAUGAACCUGGAGACCAUCAUUCUCAGCAAACUGACACAAGAACAGAAAAUGAAAUACUGCAUGUUCUCACUCAUUGGUGGGUGUUGAACAAUGAGAACACACGGUCACAGGGAGGGAAGCACUACACACUGGGGUCUGUUGGGGGGAAUAGGGGAGGGACAGCGGGGGGUGGGGAGUUGGGAAGAGAUAGCAUGGGGAGAAAUGCCAGACAUAGGUGAAAGGGAGGAAGGCAGCAAAUCACACUGCCACGUGUGUACCUAUGCAACUAUCUUGCAUGUUCUUCACAUGUACCCCAAAACCUAAAAUGCAAAAAAAAAAAAAAAAAUGGAUGAAUCUGGAGAACAUCAUCCUCAGCAAACUGACACAAGAACAGAAAAUGAAACACCGCAUAUUCUCACUCAUAGGCGGGUGAUGAAAAAUGAGAACACAUGGACACAGAAAGGGAAGUACUAAACAUUGGGGUCUAUUGGGGGGAAAAGGUGAGGGCCAGUGGGAGGGGGAGGUGGGGAGGGAUAGCCUGGGGAGAAAUGCCAAAUGUGGUUGAAGGGGAGAAGGAAAGAAAAGCACACUGCCAUGUGUGUUCCUACACAACUGUCUUGCAUGCUCUGCUCAUGUACCCCAAAACCUAAAAUCCAAUAAAAAAUAAAAAAAAAUUAAAAAAAAUAAAAAAAGCUGGCUGCCAUUGGACCCACUUUUGUUUGUUGGUUUGGUUGGUUAAUCUACUUAUUUUUAAUAUUAUUUUAAUUUUUUAAAAUUUAUUUUUAGAAGGUGGUAUCACUAUGUUGCCCAGCUUGGUCUUGAACUCUUGGGCUCAAGUGGUCCUCCUGUCUUAGACUCCCAAAGUCCUGGGAUUAUAGGCAUAAACCACCAUGCCUGGCCUGUUUGUAUUUUAAGGAGAAAAUGAUUCUUUUUCUGCUCAUGAAAGCAUGUUGGUGGGUCUUCAUAAGCUAUCAAAGGUGAGCCUAAAUAGAAAAUGAGCUGCAUAACAUAGGAACAGGAAUUUGGGAAUUGUUUCCUUACAGAAGAAGACAUAAGGGGCUGGGCGUGGUGCCUGUAAUCCCAGCCUUUAGGUACUUAGGUAGGCUGAAGUGGGCAGAUUGCUUGAGCCCAGAUUUGAGAACAGCCUGGGCAACAUAGUAAGACCUGGUCUCUACUAAAAAUAAACAAUUAGCCAAGUGGGUCGUGUGCACCUAAGGUCCCAAAUAGUAGGAAAGCUGACACAGGAGAUCACUUGAGCCUGGGAGGUUGAAGCUGCAGUGAGCUGGGAUCAUGAUACUUCACUCUAGCCUGGGCAACAGAGUGAGACCCUACUUAAAAAAAAAAAAAGGCAUAAGCGCUGUGGGGUCUCCAAGCCUUGGAGAAAAGGAAACAUGGAGACAUGCCUCCCACGGAGAAUGGAACCCAGCUACAAGGCUGUGAUCUGGAAUCUAGAAAGUAUCUGGUGAAGACGUGGUCCAGAGUGAAGGUGGGGAUGCCAUCGCCUCUGCUGAGCUGAUCUCUAAUUCCCCUCUAUGAUUCCUAAUCCUUAGUAAAGGUUCCUUAUCUGUGCACAUGUUAUUGGUGCUUUAAGGAUUUCAGGGAAAGGAAUUGUACCUACUGUUGGCAAAGCAAAUCAAAGACAGCAGCCAUCACAAUUCCCAUUCCAGGAGGGUUGACAAAUGAGUGAUGAAAACGUACCAAGAGCAGGAAGGUGAAGUGAGGAGCAAACAAGAGAACACAAGUCCUCCCGCCCCAGGAUCCUCUGAGAUUUUUGAGGAGGCUUCUGGACUUCCCAACAUGUGAAGUAGAUGAGUUACAGCUAUUUUCUUUGACUAUCCUAGCAGAGGUUGGUGGUGCCCUUGCCCUACCCACUUCAGUGAAUAACACCUACUGGCUUACAAUGAGCAAGCCACUGCAUUUUUUGGCCUGGGGCUUUUGCUUCUCACUGAAGCCUUUUUGAUGACUUCCAUUGAAAUGGGAUGGCAGAAUAGGAGAAUCAAU